ACACAAAAACCCUUAACACAUACCUCAUUCCCAUCUCAAUCCCAAUCCCAACGCUUUGGGCUCCCCAAUAUAACUUGGGCCUUCCUCACUUGGCCCAAUACAAAUCUAGAAACCCCGAUUUUAAUCCCAGACACAUGUGGCAUCAAGGAUAAUACUAAUCGGAGCAAUGGCACCAUCUACUGUUACGCUUAUUCCGCCACGAUUCACACUCUUCACGUAUCCUAGAAACAACGCUUCUAGAAUCUUCCAUUUCCGUUCUCCUCUCAGGCGUUCUAUCUCCGCCAUGACAACGCAGCAAGGAUCCUCUUCUACCAAAACGGAGAGAGUGGUGAUAAAGGGAAGGGUGCAGGGAGUGUUUUACCGGAACUGGACGAUUGAAAAUGCGACGCAGUUAGGGUUGAAGGGGUGGGUGCGCAACCGGAAGGACGGUUCCGUGGAGGCUCUGUUCUCUGGGAAUGUUGAUGCGGUGCAGGAGAUGGAGCAGCGGUGUCGACGUGGCCCUCCCGAUGCGCUUGUCACGGGGCUUCAGGUUUUUCCCUCCGAUGAUGAUCCUGGUACUGGAUUUAACCGCAAACCAACGCUUUGAUCUUCUAUCCUUCGAUCAGUUCCGUAAUUUCACUCGUACGUACCUGCCACCGACCUAGAGCUAGACAUCGUGGGACAUGAAAAAAGAUAACAAGAGGGAAGAUAUUUUUUGGUGGUACCGGUUUGUUGGAAGUUUGACGGUUAUUGUGUGGGUUGCUGGUGGUGUCAUUUAGUUUUGCAUAGGUAUGACUUCUUUCCGUUUUUCAAAUACCUUAGAGUUGCUUGAUGUGAAAUUAGGAAAAACCAUCUUUCCCUGAAUCUUUUACAAAUAUGUCAGCACAAAAUCGUAAAUUUGUCUAAGAUCCUUAAUAAUACAUGUAAUAUUUCUUUGUUUCAAUUA
Molecule: RNA transcript, 925 nt
Organism: Vigna unguiculata (cowpea)
Lineage: Eukaryota; Viridiplantae; Streptophyta; Magnoliopsida; Fabales; Fabaceae
Gene name: acylphosphatase family
Source: RefSeq, a predicted model, not a curated record